This 444-nucleotide ribosomal RNA is filed under the name uncultured bacterium. Its description in RNAcentral is "partial 16S ribosomal RNA". It matches the Rfam family "Bacterial small subunit ribosomal RNA", at positions 28 to 523 of the family's 1533-position model. The record is from RNAcentral.
GGUGAACGUUGGCGGCGCGUCUAAUACAUGCAAGUCGAGUGGGUUUAGACCCACGGCGGACGGCUGAGUAACACGUUGGUAGCUGCCCCCCAUUCAGGGAUAACCCUUCGAAAGAAGGAUUAAUACCGGAUAGUCCCGCAAGGGUAAAGAUUUAUCGAUGGGGGAGGCGCCUGCGUCCUAUCAGUUAGUUGGUGAGGUAACGGCUCACCAAGACGAUGACGGGUAGCUGGUCUGAGAGGACGACCAGCCAGAGGGAAACUGAGACACGGUUCCCACUCCUACGGGAGGCAGCAGUGGGGAAUAUUGGACAAUGGGGGAAACCCUGAUCCAGCCAUGCCGCGUGAGUGCUAAGGCCUUCGGGUUGUAAAACUCUUUCGCGAGGGAAGAUAAUGACGGUACCUCGAGAAGAAGCUCCGGCUAACUUCGUGCCAGCCGCCGCCGUAA